UACGUAGGGUGCAAGCGUUAUCCGGAAUUAUUGGGCGUAAAGAGCUCGUAGGCGGUUUGUCGCGUCUGCUGUGAAAACUGGGGGCUCAACCCCCCAGCCUGCAGUGGGUACGGGCAGACUAGAGUGCGGUAGGGGAGAUUGGAAUUCCUGGUGUAGCGGUGGAAUGCGCAGAUAUCAGGAGGAACACCGAUGGCGAAGGCAGAUCUCUGGGCCGUAACUGACGCUGAGGAGCGAAAAGCAUGGGGAGCGAACAGG
This 255-nucleotide ribosomal RNA is filed under the name uncultured bacterium. Its description in RNAcentral is "partial 16S ribosomal RNA". It matches the Rfam family "Bacterial small subunit ribosomal RNA", at positions 524 to 776 of the family's 1533-position model. The record is from RNAcentral.